This 1324-nucleotide long non-coding RNA is filed under the name Homo sapiens (human). RNAcentral's name for it is "HSALNT0294662". The record is from RNAcentral. Lineage: Eukaryota; Metazoa; Chordata; Mammalia; Primates; Hominidae.
CCAAACCUUGAACAUUCAUGUCGUCUCUGGGAAGUGGCUUUUUGAUUCAGCACUGGUACUUUCCAGUGUCAGCACUUGUAUGUGUCAGUAGCUAAGUCUCUCGUCCAAGGGCCCCAGGUUCUCAGCCUCUGCUUCAUCUCAGGAAAGCCCUCUGGCAGUUGAAGAGAAUGGGUGCCGAUUUCAAAUGAAGACUGACUUGAUCCUGAACAUAACCUACAAGAAGAAAGGGACCACAGGCUAUACACAAAGCAUGGUGCCGGCAUCUGCUUCUGGUGAGGGCCUCAGGAAGCUUACAAUCAUCUUGGAAGGUGAAGAGGAAGCCAGCGCAUCACAUGGCAAGAGAGGGAGCAAGAGAGAAGGGGACAGUGCCGCACACUUUAAAAAAAAACCUUAUCUCACGAGGCAGAACUAACUGAGUGAGAGUUCACUCAUCACCAAGGGAAUGGUGCUGAGUCAUUCAUGAGGGAUCCCCCUGCCGCCCCCGUGAUCCAAUCACCUCCCACCAGACCCCACCUCCAACACUGGGGAUUACAUUUCAACAUGAGACUUGGGGGGGACAAACAUCCAAACCAUGUCAGUCUUCAACCCCUCUUCCUGACAUACAACUCCUAAAACUCUUAGAAUCUCCAAAGUGCUGUCUUUUUAUGUGUUAGUAAUUGGCUAGUGGCUCACAGCCCCUUGGUAGCUUCAGGAUGGGGCCUGGUCACUGGAAAGACCAAGUCAUAAUUAGAGGGUUGAGACUUUCAGCCCACCCCCAACAUCUGGGGAGAAGAGAAGGGCCGAAGCUCAAAUUGAUCACCAAUGGCCAGUGUUUUAAUUAAUCAUGUGGCCAGGCGUGGUGGCUCACGCCUGUAAUCCUAGCACUUUGGGAGGCUGAGGCAGGUGGAUCACGAGGUCAGGAGAUGGAGACCAUCCUGGCUAACACGGUGAAACUCCAUCUCUACUAAAAAUACAAAAAAUUAGCUGGAUGCGGUGGCAUGCGCCUGUAGUCCCAGCUACUCAGGAGGCUGAAGCAGGAGAAUCACUUGAACCCGGGAGGCAGAGGUUACAGUGAGCCGAGAUUACACCACUGCACUCCAGCCUGGGUGACAGAGCCAGACUCCAUCUCAAAAAAACAACAACAAAAAAAGACAAAUAAAAUAAAUAAAAAUAAUGAAUCAUGCCUAUGUAAUGAAGCCUCCAUAAAAACACAAAAGAAUAGGGUUCAGGGAGCCUCUGGAUAGCUGAAUAUCUGGAGGCUCCUAGAGAGUGGCAUGUCCAGAGGGCAUGGAAGCUCUGUGCCCCUUUUUCACCCUAUACACCUCAUCAUCUGUAUGCUUGGUAA